GGAAGGUGGGGAUGACGUCAAGUCAGCAUGGCCUUUAUACCCUGGGCGACACACACGCUACAAUGGGUGGUAUAAUUGGUAGCGAAGGAGCGAUCCGGAGCAAAUCCUUAAAACCAUCCUCAGUACGGAUUGCAGGCUGAAACCCGCCUGCAUGAAGCCGGAGUUGCUAGUAACCGCAUAUCAGAAUGGUGCGGUGAAUACGUUCUCGGGCCUU
This 214-nucleotide ribosomal RNA is filed under the name uncultured Chloroflexota bacterium. Its description in RNAcentral is "uncultured Chloroflexi bacterium partial 16S ribosomal RNA". It matches the Rfam family "Bacterial small subunit ribosomal RNA", at positions 1168 to 1382 of the family's 1533-position model. Lineage: Bacteria; Bacillati; Chloroflexota. The record is from RNAcentral.